This 324-nucleotide unclassified non-coding RNA is filed under the name Hevea brasiliensis (rubber tree). Lineage: Eukaryota; Viridiplantae; Streptophyta; Magnoliopsida; Malpighiales; Euphorbiaceae. The record is from RNAcentral.
CGUUGAUGAUUGCCAUGAAAAAAACAUUGAAUCUAGCAUGUGCCUAGAUGCAGCCCACAAUUCAGUUAUUCAUGAUUGUUUGUGACUAGAUCCUUGGUUGUUUUCAUAAUAGAUGGCUGCUUAUGUGCUCUCUUACUUGAAGAAAGAUUUUGGCAUAAAUGCUAGAUGUUUUCUGAACCUAGUGCUUUUGUGUCCUGAUUAUAUUUGGAUAUGGUGCAAGUUUGGAUGAUCAUGGUUGUGAUGACCAGAGUUUUGAUUGGCUGAAUUUUUUUGUAUUGCAGGGGUGAUGUCGUUCAAGUAGAUACUUGGGUGAGUGCAUCUGGA